AACAAAAAAAUCAACUAAAAAUAUCAACUGUGUGUUUAGAUACAUAAUUGAUACUCAUUCUGGUACAAACUCCCCUUUUAUCUUUUUCAGACCAAUAACAAACACUUCCUGGGCCAGCACUGACACAUGGACUACUUUAACAGCUUUGCUGAAGCUUAGAAAUGAGAUUCGUUGAGAGGCUUAGAUGAGAUCAUUCACGUACAGUGUCAAGUGUGACUGUAUCCA
Molecule: long non-coding RNA, 225 nt
Filed under: Cavia porcellus (domestic guinea pig)
Lineage: Eukaryota; Metazoa; Chordata; Mammalia; Rodentia; Caviidae
Description: lncRNA (ENSCPOG00000040297.1)
Source: RNAcentral